UGAGGCCUACUCCAGUGAUGAUACGCUUC
This 29-nucleotide non-coding RNA is filed under the name Mus musculus (house mouse). Lineage: Eukaryota; Metazoa; Chordata; Mammalia; Rodentia; Muridae. The record is from RNAcentral.